Molecule: long non-coding RNA, 664 nt
Filed under: Helianthus annuus (common sunflower)
Lineage: Eukaryota; Viridiplantae; Streptophyta; Magnoliopsida; Asterales; Asteraceae
Source: RNAcentral
AAAACUUUCAGUUUUAAUUCCCCAAAACAUGUUUUGGGCAACUGUGCUAAUGCAUUUUGACCCAUAUAGAAAAUUACUCAGCAGGUUAUAAGCCAUGAAUUUCUGUUAAUGAUGUUUGGUUGAUUUUGUAGGUGAAAAGGGUUCUAAGUAGGUGCAACUCUUGAUUGUUAAAGAAUAAAGAGUCCAAUGAGAAUGGGGAUAAGAGACAAGUCUAGGGGAUGCCGGCACCAAGAACAACGACAUGACCAUCAUAAGCCGACAUAGUUCCCUAAACUCACACAGUCAAUUGAGGGGUUUUUAAAAGAAGAAGAGAGAUAUUGACACUUCCCUACAUUCACACACUUAGUUGGGAGUUUUUCAUGAAGAGAGACUUUGACACUCAAAAAUUUUGUCACAGUGGCAUUAUUGAAACUCUCCCUGCCUACUCUGAAGAUAACAAUGGACAUUAGGGCUUGAUCAAAUACAACUCUAAACUUGGUUGCAUGCCAAUCACAGCACCCAUCAUUUGAGGUUUGAAGAGAUGGAAAGGCGUAAACUAGGAAAGAUUUCCAUUGAAGACCUGCCAAGUGUCUUGAAGCUGAGAAAUGAACUUUGCCUAGCGCGUACGAACACACACACCGGAUGUGUAUACAACUAAUGUUUUUGUUUGGAAUGCAAAGGAAAA